GUGGAGAGAACCAUGAACCUUUUGUAUCAUAUGAAGGCCUUGAGCAGCUGCAUCGCUUCAUUUUCGUCAUGGCCAUUACUCAUAUAUCUUAUAGUUGCUUGACAAUGCUGCUGGCGAUUGUUAAGGUCCACAGUUGGAGGGUGUGGGAAGAUCAAGCUCAGAAUGACAGGCAUGAUGUACUAACUGAAAUUUCUAGAGCCAAGACAUUCCGAAGGCAGUCAACUUUUGUCAGAGUUCACACAUCAAGUCCACUUGCCAGAAACCAUUUCCUUGUUUGGGUGACCUGUUUCUUCCGGCAGUUUGGCCGCACAGUUGUCCG
Molecule: unclassified non-coding RNA, 319 nt
Filed under: Hevea brasiliensis (rubber tree)
Lineage: Eukaryota; Viridiplantae; Streptophyta; Magnoliopsida; Malpighiales; Euphorbiaceae
Source: RNAcentral